RNAcentral lists this ribosomal RNA (491 nucleotides) under uncultured bacterium. RNAcentral's name for it is "partial 16S ribosomal RNA". It matches the Rfam family "Bacterial small subunit ribosomal RNA", at positions 29 to 507 of the family's 1533-position model. The record is from RNAcentral.
AUGAACGCUAGCUACAGGCUUAACACAUGCAAGUCGAGGGGAAACGACAUCGAAAGCUUGCUUUUGAUGGGCGUCGACCGGCGCACGGGUGAGUAACGCGUAUCCAACCUGCCCAUCACUUGGGAAUAACCUUGCGAAAGUAAGACUAAUACCCAAUGACAUCCCACGAAGACAUCUGAAUGGGAUUAAAGAUUUAUCGGUGAUGGAUGGGGAUGCGUCUGAUUAGCUUGUUGGCGGGGUAACGGCCCACCAAGGCAACGAUCAGUAGGGGUUCUGAGAGGAAGGUCCCCCACAUUAGAACUGAGACACGGUCCAAACUCCUACGGGAGGCAGCAGUGAGGAAUAUUGGUCAAGGGGCGAGAGCCUGAACCAGCCAAGUAGCGUGCAGGAUGACGGCCCUAUGGGUUGUAAACUGCUUUUAUAAGGGAAUAAAGUGGGUCUCGGGAGACUUUUUGCAUGUACCUUAUGAAUAAGGACCGGCUAAUUCCGUG